AGGCGGUAUAGCCAAGUGGUAAGGCAGAGGAUUGCAAAUUCUUUAUCCCCAGUUCGAGUCUGGGUACCGCCUA
Molecule: transfer RNA, 73 nt
Filed under: Bostrychia simpliciuscula
Lineage: Eukaryota; Rhodophyta; Florideophyceae; Ceramiales; Rhodomelaceae
Description: tRNA-Cys
Rfam family: tRNA
About the family: Transfer RNA (tRNA) molecules are approximately 80 nucleotides in length.
Source: RNAcentral